UGUCAACUAGUUGUNGGGUCUGUUAAAAGAUUUGGUAACGUAGCUAUCGCAUGAAGUUGACCGCCUGGGAAGUACGGUCGCAAGAUUAAAACUCAAAGGAAUUGACGGGGACCCGCACAAGCGGUGGAUUAUGUGGAUUAAUUCGAUGCAACGCGAAAAACCUUACCUACCCUUGACAUGCUUAAAAUUUUGCAGAAAUGUAAAAGUGCCCGAAAGGGAAUUAAGACACAGGUGCUGCAUGGCUGUCGUCAGCUCGUGUCGAGAGAUGUUGGGUUAAGUCCCGCAACGAGCGCAACCCUUGUCACUAAUUGCCAUCAUUAAGGUGGGCCCUUUAGUGAUACUGCCGGUGACAAACCGGAGAAAGGUGGGGAUGACGUCAAGUCCUCAUGGCCCUUAUGGGUAGGGCUUCACACG
This 414-nucleotide ribosomal RNA is filed under the name uncultured Pseudomonadota bacterium. RNAcentral describes it as "bacterial SSU rRNA". It matches the Rfam family "Bacterial small subunit ribosomal RNA", at positions 810 to 1222 of the family's 1533-position model. Lineage: Bacteria; Pseudomonadati; Pseudomonadota. The record is from RNAcentral.